UCCCACCAGGGAGCUGGAUCAGGGACUCCAUCCUGGAUCCCAGGAUCACACCCUGAGCCCUGAGCUGAAGGCAAAUGCUCAACCUCUGAGCCGCCCACGCGUCCCCCACACCUUUUUUUUUUUUUUUUUUUUAAGCUUCCUCUCAUUUGUUUGUUUCUUUUCUUGGGUGGAGAAAGAAGGAAAUUCCAUGAUUUGCAAGUCUGCCAGAGCCAGAGUGUGUGUGUAGGGCCAGGUUGCUGUCAGGGACAAAGGCAGGGAGAUGGCCUGUGUCAAAAUGAAGAUCCACUGGGGCAAGAAGAAAGCCAGGCUGGAAGGAAGAGAAGCAGGCUUCGAGCUCCAACAAUUCCUGCCCAGUGAGGCUCAGGGGCCCCAGAGACAAGAGCCCAAAGGCCAUUCUUCGAAGCUGAGCACGAUUACAGGGUUUCUGAGAGUACUGCACAGAAAUAAAGGACCCAAAAAGGUCACUCAUCCACCAGAAACUUCCAAAGGUUUCUCUGAGUUGGUCCAGGAUGGGCGGUUCCUGGAGGCCUACCUGAGCAUCCCGACAUUGGUAAAGCAAGGGCAAGACUGCAAAUCCCUGUACCAGGUUGUGGCCCAGAGCAUGUGGCAGGUGGUCCAGCAGGCUCUGGAGGGCACUGAGUACAGCCCAGAGCUGGAGCUAAAGAUCCAGGCUGUGCUGGGCACCAUAGAGUGGACACAGGAGAAGCACCAGAGCUGGGAGGAUGGUGACUUCCAGGAUGGUGACCUCCAGGAUGGUGACCUCCAGGAUGGUGACCUCCAGGAUGGUGACCUCCAGGAUGGCGGAGUUGCCGCCUGGGGCAAUCAGCUGGAGAAGCUGCUGAGAAGUGAUGUGGAGGCCAGAGUGCCUGCCCCGGGCCCCGGCGACCAGGUGGACCUGUACCUGGAGAAGCUAGAAGAGGCUGUGACACAGGGCCUGGGGUCCCUGCGGGCCAGCCUGUUGGGGCCCCAGCUCUGGAAGGUCUACAGGACACACUUCCAGGAGGUCCUCCUCAGCCGCCUCUGGGAGCUCACGCACUCCUUUGGCACCAACUGGGAAAGCUGUCACAUGCUGUACUCCUGGGCCAAGAUAACGUUGUUUGAGGAGCCAGGGAAGACACUUGUGAGUGCACCUCCCACCUCCCAGGAGCCCACGGUCAGGCAACUCUUAGAUCCCGUGACGUUUGUUCCCUGGAUGUCCCGAAUGCAGAAGAAGCUGGUGGGACUAAUCCAGGAAAGCUUGGAGAAACAACUAGAAAACGUCCUGAUCUGUGAUUGGAAAACAUGGGCCCAGGGUUCCUGCCCGACGUUUAUCGAAAUCUUCCAGCUGCUGGAACAAAAGAUUAAUGCAGUACAACCGAUUGGACUACCUAUCACUAGCCAGGUGCAAUCCAUGGUUCUGGAAACAUUUUCAAAGUUUCUGAAAAGGUACGAGGCCGAGGCCGCCCACUUCCUCCACCAGAACGCCACUGCUGGGCCCCUCCCCGAGGUGCACGUGCUGGCAAACUGCGGCAUCCUCAGGGAAACGUGGCAGUUGCUGGGCUGGGCACACAUUCUGCCGGCACAUCUGGACGCUGUCGUGCAAGACAUCAUCCACGUCAUCGAGAGCCACAGCCAGGACCACUUCCUGUUUAAGGGCAGAGCCUUGUGCAAGAGUCUGCUCCUGGGUUACUUCGUGAGGAAGGACAAGGAUCUGGCUGGAGCUCUGGAGCCCUUGUGGCAGAGUCUGGAGGGCCGUCCCAAAAUGUACUCCACUCUCAUGUAUGAGAACAUCAUGCGAAGUUUGCACGUGGUGGUCUUUGGGGAGUACAUCCAGGCCCUGGCCACCCACCUCAAGAAGCUGGCGCCCAAGAAGUGGGAGGACAUCUUGGUUCAGGUGAACACUGACACCAUGAAGUUGCACAACAUCUUCACGAAGUACAGGGACGUCGGCUUGGCCAACCUACAGGAACCCAUCAUGGGGAUCUUCCAGCUCAGAGGGAACAAGGGUAGGGAGACUGUGGAUGACUGGCUGGUGUCCUUCAGGGACAGAUUCCCAGAUUAUUUAAGCACCCAGGUCCAGCCACACUGCUCUGUGCUCUUGGAGGAGACUGAGGACAAGGGAAGCUGCUGCCGCUGCUGUUGACCCCAGCUCUGGUAAAGGAUCUGGCGGCAGCUCCCUGACUGCCCUUAAUGGAGGUGGAGGUGAGCUCAAGCUUCAGGGAGCCUUGGGCUGUGGAAGUUGUGUGGCUCUGACACCCACCUAUGGAGAAGGAUCUGGGUGCCCCUGGUCACCAGGUGGCCACUUCAUAAAUGGCGGCCUGACAUCCAGGAGGAAGCCAAUCCUUCUCAGGUCUGGACUCGUCUGUCAGAAGGAAUACCCUGACCCCAGCCACCAAGCAAUAAGGCAGGCCAGGCCUUGUGGGAGGUCACAUGCUCAUGUUCUAGCCAGAAACCCUACUGAAGACCCAGCCAACAGCUGGCAUGAACCCCAGAAGAACCUCAAGAUUCCUGCAGCCCCAACCACUGUCUGAUGUAGCAUCAGAAUUAAAGGCGAACAUAGCCUAUUGGUGACUGAACAGUUGGACCCUUGCCUGGUGUGGAAGUUCCCACAGUUGGUAUCAAAAGAGCUGUGAGCAGAGGGACAGUUUUGCUGGAGUCACCUUGGUCACCCAUGCCUCCCCAUGGAGGUGGGGGGGGACACUUGCUUGCUGCCACCCCAAGCUGCAUGAAAAUGCUUCAAUGAACAGGCCUCUGCCUAAUCUGAGUCAGAAGCUGUCAAGUCGUUUCUCCUUUUCCUUCCCUUUGUCCUCCUUCACGUUAUUCUCUUUUCUGGAAAAUGAAAGAGUAGUUCCUGUACAUCAGUAUUUAAGAGAGGCUGCGACCCAGACCUUGCUUCAACGCUGUUUUAGCGGAUUCCCUAGGCUCGGACUGUCCUGGACUGAGGCUGGGCAGCAGCAAACACUGAUCGUCUCCCGAGGAAAGUGCCUUCAUUCUGGGUGUCAAAUCACUCCUACAAGUAGUUUCUGAAGGACAGGACAAUGAGCUCUGUAUAAAAAUAAGCAAGUACACAAGGGCAGAGGAACCAUGAGUGAGACCCAGUAGGACCUGCAGACAGCAGACAGGCCUGCAAAGACCGGCUCUCGUCACGUGGUGUAGCAGACACAUGGCAUAUCAGACACUGACUGUACCAGACACUGACUGUAUCAGGCACACGGUGUAUCAGACACUGUAUCAGACACUGUAUUAGACACUGACUGUAACAGAUGCACAAGGUAUCAGACAGCGACUGUACCAGACACUGACUGUACCAGACACCGACUGUAUCAGGCACAUGGUGUAGCAGACACAUGGCAACUAUACCAGAUGCUGACUGUAUCAAACACAGACUGUACCAGACACUGGCUGUAUUAGACACUGACUGUAUCAGACAGUGACUGUAUUAGACACUAUAUCAGACACUGACUGUAUCAGACAACAACUGUAUUAGAUGCUGACUGUAUCAGAUAAACAGGGUAUCAGACAGCGACUGUAUCAGCGACUGUACCAGACACUGUACCAGGCACCGACUAUAUCAGACACUGUAUCAGACAUAGACUGUACUAGACACUGACUGUACCAGACACUGACUGUAUCAGGCACACGGUGUAUCAGACACAUGGCAUAUCAGACACCAAGUGUACCAGACACCGACUGUAUCAAACACUGACUGUAUCAGACAUGGAUUGUACCAGACACUGGCUGUAUUAGACACUGACUGUAUCAGACACAGAGUAUCAGACACUGUAUCAGACAGCGACUGUCUCAGACACUGACUGUAUCAGACACACAGGGUAUCAGACAGCAACUAUAUCAGACAGUGACUAUAUCAGAUACCGACUGUAUCAGGCACACGGUGUAUCAGACACAUGGCAUAUCAGACACCAACUGUACCAGACAUAUGGUAUAUCAGACGUUGACUGUAUUAGACACUGACUGUAUCAGAUAUUGACUGUAUCAGACACCAACUGUAGCAGACAUAUGGUAUAUCAGACGUUGACUGUAUUAGACACUGACUGUAUCAGAUAUUGACUGUAUCAGACACCAACUGUAGCAGACAGUGACUGUACCCAACACCGACUGUAUCAGACAGCGACAAUAUCUGCCACAGACACUGACUGUACCAGACACAUAGUGUAUCAGACAGCAACUGUGGAGUGUGGACAGAUUGUGUCCAAAGAAAUAAAACACAAGCUUGAAAAUAUCUAUAGGGGCAGAUGCUGACUCCCUUCAUGGGGGAUUUCUUGUGGCCUUUGAGAGGAUCCUUUGGGACCCUUUGGGGAACAGGGUCACGAAAAAAACUUCAUUCUAACACUUUCCCUUCCCUGAGCCUCCUGUAUGAUGUCAGGCCAGUUCCUGCCUCUCCGCCUCGUUCACAGCAGGCCACUGAUGCAGCCAAGCUUCCAGAAAUGCAUUAGGACCCGUCUCGGGUGGCCUUGCCUGGACACCAGUCACCUGUCACAUGAGGAUGCUCCUGCAGCAAUGAAUGCCCCUUACCCUCUGACGUUCCGUCCCUGCCCAGCUGGCUUCCCCUGGUCCCUGCGGGCGCACCGAUAAGCUGGUCCCCUCAGAGUAGACAUGGUUCGUCCCUGCUCGGGUGUGCUUGGUCCUGACCUUGGUUGUUGGUCUGCCAGCACGAGGGUUGGUGGGGGGACCGUUCUGGAGAGAUCGGGUGUGAUGUCCUGAGACAAACCCAGAGGUGGGGGGCAGACUUUCACCCCCAAAUCCUCAACAAGUAGGCAAGGAGGGUCAGUUGGCAAGCAGCCUAGUUUCCUUGGAACAUUCCACAUGCUGAUUCCGAGGGCUCCCGGUGGGACGAGCCUUAGUUGCCAACAUGGGAACCCACUUACCAGUGCACUUUGAAUGGGUGCUGGAAGUCGCACUAGGAUCUGAUCUUAAGGGUGGCAGAGCUGAAGAUGUCACGUCUUUUACAUCAAAGACGGGGCGCUGACAGGAACAGAGCGACCUUCAGACACAGAUGAGGAUGUUUGGAAGGAUGAGCCUGAGAAUCUUCGACACCCCUUCCCUGUGAGCCCUGUGAGCCUGCAGGAGCGAGGCUCCCCCUUUCCAGAGGGUCUACAGAGCCUAGCAACAUGUCGCCGCUGUCUCUUUGGGCCUGUCCCUGCCGGGCCUCAUUGCAUCCCAGCCGAUAAACAGGGCCGGCAUUGAAAAUAGCCCAGCAAGGAAAUACAGUCUCUGCUCUGGGGAGGUGGGGUGCGGUGGGGGUUGCUUCUUCACCGAAGCCCUGAGGCACCUGGUUGAGAUCUGCUGCCUGGUUGCAGAAGGCACCAUCGGAUGCAGCUUCAGACCUGCUCGGGAGGGGGUGGAGGGUGACAAGGUGCAUAGAAAUGAGGGGAGCAGGGAUUGGUUUGGUUCUCUUUGUGGCUUGGUUUUCCUUCGUGUAUUUUGAAGCUCUUACAGAUGCAUAAGCAGGUUUGUUUGGUUCUCUUGCUGAAUUGAUCCCUUUACUCUUUUUUUCUCUGGUACUAAUCCUUUCUCUGGGGGCUCCCGGGUGGUGCAGUGGGUUAAGUGUCCGACUCUUGCUUUUGGCUCAGGUCAUGGGCUCAGCGUCAUGAGAUUGAGCCCCGCAUGGUGCUGGGCUCCGUGCUCAGCUGGGAGACUGCUUGGAAUACCUUCCCCUUCCACUCCUCCCCCGACCCUC
This is an RNA transcript of Nyctereutes procyonoides (raccoon dog), 5677 nucleotides long. RefSeq lists it as uncharacterized. The transcript is spliced from 13 exons. The record is from RefSeq and is a predicted model, not a curated record. NCBI's taxonomy places the organism in Eukaryota, Metazoa, Chordata, Mammalia, Carnivora, Canidae.